RNAcentral lists this ribosomal RNA (253 nucleotides) under uncultured bacterium. Its description in RNAcentral is "partial 16S ribosomal RNA". It matches the Rfam family "Bacterial small subunit ribosomal RNA", at positions 524 to 776 of the family's 1533-position model. The record is from RNAcentral.
UACGUAGGUGGCAAGCGUUGUCCGGAUUUACUGGGCGUAAAGAGCGCGCAGGCGGUCGUUUAAGUCGAAUGUGAAAGCCCCCGGCUCAACUGGGGAGGGUCAUUCGAUACUGAUCGACUUGAAGGCAGGAGAGGGAAGUGGAAUUCCGGGUGUAGUGGUGAAAUGCGUAGAUAUCCGGAGGAACACCAGUGGCGAAGGCGACUUCCUGGCCUGUCCUUGACGCUGAGGCGCGAAAGCUGGGGGAGCAAACGGG